Molecule: ribosomal RNA, 79 nt
Filed under: Candidatus Phytoplasma citri
Lineage: Bacteria; Bacillati; Mycoplasmatota; Mollicutes; Acholeplasmatales; Acholeplasmataceae
Description: Candidatus Phytoplasma aurantifolia partial 23S ribosomal RNA
Source: RNAcentral
AAAGGAAAUAAGAGCGCACAGUGGAUGCCUAGGCUCCAAGAGCCGAUGAAGGACGCAAUCGCCCCUUAAAGUAGGCGAG